AUUGAACGCUGGCGGCAGGCCUAACACAUGCAAGUCGAGCGGAUGAAGGGAGCUUGCUCCUGGAUUCAGCGGCGGACGGGUGAGUAAUGCCUAGGAAUCUGCCUGGUAGUGGGGGAUAACGUCCGGAAACGGGCGCUAAUACCGCAUACGUCCUGAGGGAGAAAGUGGGGGAUCUUCGGACCUCACGCUAUCAGAUGAGCCUAGGUCGGAUUAGCUAGUUGGUGGGGUAAAGGCCUACCAAGGCGACGAUCCGUAACUGGUCUGAGAGGAUGAUCAGUCACCCUGGAACUGAGACACGGUCCAGACACCUACGGGAGGAAGCAGUGGGGAAUAUUGGACAAUGGGCGAAAGCCUGAUCCAGCCAUGUCGCGUGUGUGAAGAAGGUCUUCGGAUUGUAAAGCACUUUAAGUUGGGAGGAAGGGCAGUAAGUUAAUACCUUGCUGUUUUGACGUUACCAACAGAAUAAGCACCGGCUAACUUCGUG
Molecule: ribosomal RNA, 484 nt
Filed under: uncultured bacterium
Lineage: Bacteria
Description: partial 16S ribosomal RNA
Rfam family: Bacterial small subunit ribosomal RNA
Source: RNAcentral